Molecule: ribosomal RNA, 794 nt
Filed under: uncultured bacterium
Lineage: Bacteria
Description: bacterial SSU rRNA
Rfam family: Bacterial small subunit ribosomal RNA
Source: RNAcentral
GCAAGUCGAGCGAAUGAAAGUUCCUUCGGGAACCGAUUUAGCGGCGGACGGGGUGAGUAACACGUGGGCAACCUGCCUCAUAGAGGGGAAUAGCCUUCCGAAAGGGAGAUUAAUACCGCAUAAGAUUGUAGUACCGCAUGGUACAGCAAUUAAAGGAGCAAUCCGCUAUGAGAUGGGCCCGCGGCGCAUUAGCUAGUUGGUGAGGUAACGGCUCGCCAAGGCGACGAUGCGUAGCCGACCUGAGAGGGUGAUCGGCCACAUUGGGACUGAGACACGGCCCAGACUCCUACGGGAGGCAGCAGUGGGGAAUAUUGGGCAAUGGGGGAAACCCUGACCCAGCAACGCCGCGUGAAGGAAGAAGGUUUUCGGAUCGUAAACUUCUGUCCUCAGUGAAGAGUAGAAGACGGUAACUGAGGAGGAAGCCCCGGCUAACUACGUGCCAGCAGCCGCGGUAAUACGUAGGGGGCAAGCGUUGUCCGGAAUGAUUGGGCGUAAAGGGCGCGUAGGCGGCCUAUUAAGUUUGGAGUGAAAGUCCCGCUUUCAAGGUGGGAAUUGCUUUGAAAACUGACGGGCGGUGAGUGCAGAAGAAGACAGUGGAACUCCAUGUGUAGCGGUGGAAUGCGUAGAUAUAUGGAAGAACACCAGUGGCGAAGGCGGCUGUCUGGUCUGCAACUGACGCUGAGGCUCGAAAGCAUGGGUAGCGAACAGGAUUAGAUACCCUGGUAGUCCAUGCCGUAAACGAUGAGUGCUAGGUGUUGGAGGGUNUCCGCCCUUCAGUGCCGGAGCUAACGCAU